RNAcentral lists this ribosomal RNA (433 nucleotides) under uncultured bacterium. RNAcentral's name for it is "partial 16S ribosomal RNA". It matches the Rfam family "Bacterial small subunit ribosomal RNA", at positions 29 to 507 of the family's 1533-position model. The record is from RNAcentral.
AACGAACGCUGGCGGCAUGCCUAACACAUGCAAGUCGAACGAGACCUUCGGGUCUAGUGGCGCACGGGUGCGUAACGCGUGGGAACCUGCCCUGAGGUGCGGAAUAACUCCCCGAAAGGGGUGCUAAUACCGGAUAAUGUCUUCGGACCAAAGAUUUAUCGCCUUUGGAUGGGCCCGCGUUGGAUUAGCUAGUUGGUAGGGUAAAAGCCUACCAAGGCGACGAUCCAUAGCUGGUCUGAGAGGAUGAUCAGCCACACUGGGACUGAGACACGGCCCAGACUCCUACGGGAGGCAGCAGUGGGGAAUAUUGGACAAUGGGCGAAAGCAUGAUCCAGCACUGCCGGGUGAGUGAUGAAGGCCUUAGGGUUGUAAAGCUCUCUUACCCGGGAUGAUAAUGACAGUACCGGGAGAAUAAGCUCCGGCUAACUACGUG